Molecule: ribosomal RNA, 253 nt
Filed under: uncultured bacterium
Lineage: Bacteria
Description: partial 16S ribosomal RNA
Rfam family: Bacterial small subunit ribosomal RNA
Source: RNAcentral
UACAGAGGUCCCAAGCGUUGUUCGGAUUCAUUGGGCGUAAAGGGUGCGUAGGCGGCGCGGUAAGUCGGGUGUGAAAUCUCGGAGCUUAACUCCGAAACUGCAUUCGAUACUGCCGUGCUUGAGGACUGGAGAGGAGACUGGAAUUUACGGUGUAGCGGUGAAAUGCGUAGAUAUCGUAAGGAAGACCAGUGGCGAAGGCGGGUCUCUGAACAGUUCCUGACGCUGAGGCACGAAGGCCAGGGGAGCAAACGGG